UUGUAGUUCUUAAAAUAUAUUUUGAAUAAUAACCCUUUAUCAGAUAGAUGACUUAGAAAUAUUUUCUCCCAUUGUGUGGGCUGCCUUUUCAGUCUGUUGAUUGCGUCCUUUGAUGCCCAGGAGUUUUUAGUUCUCAUGUAGUCCAGCGUAUCUAUUUUUUACCUUCGUUACCUGUGCUUUUGGUGCCAUGUCCGAGAAGGCAUUGCCAAGUCCAGUGUCAUGAAGUAUUUAUUGCUACUAUUAAAAGUGCUGUGAUAGUCUUAAUCCAUGGUUUUGAACUUACUGGUUAGUCCAUUUUACCAUUUGGUUUACCAUCUGCCCUUUACCUCUUUGCCCGCUUACUGUAUGAAAUUCCUCACUGAGUCCUAUAAUGGUCGUAAAUUCUUUGUUCCGUUCAGAAGGUAAGCGCGUUUGCCACUUACGAGUGUCAGACGUACUCCUUUUUUUCCCCUUUUGUUGUUGGUACAAAAAGUAUCUAUCACACAAGGACUUUUAAACAUCCAUCUACCAAGUCUAAUAAUAAUUAAUAAGUCUGUUCAUUUUGCUUCUGAUUACGUUUUCUUUAGUAGCUAAAUGUCUGUGUACUCUUACAGUUUCCUGAGUACUCUUCACCGUUUAAGGAGUUAUGAAUCCAAUUUAGGGGUGAAUCUAAAUUGAUGAGUUAUACUCAUAAAGUGGAAAUGUCAAACUUUUACUGAACGAAUUCUACUUUGCUCUGCUCCAGGUCAGUAUUAGUGUCUUUCAAUUAAUUAUCUGCCUGAAUCUGUUUCUGGAAUGUUUAGCCACUAGUUUCUGUUGUUUCUAGUCAAAUACAGCAAAUUGUAAAGACCAUCGCUGUUACUAUGUUUGAAAACCUAGUAUGUGGAGGCUAUGCUGCUCCUUUUAAGGCAAGAGUAUUCUCUCCUUGUUGGGACUUGAGUACACAGAACUGGGUUAAUCUUUGGUUUGUGACAUGACAUGGCUCUCUUUUAUUUGCUUCCUUGGUGUUUUUAAUAAUGUGGUAAGCAUUUCUGAGACUUGUGUUCAGUGUAAAACCUAGGACGUUAGUAGCUUUUUCUACCUGGGUGGUCAUCUUCUCCCCCUGCCCCCAUCUCUAGGCCAACGUAAUCGCCAUCCCGAAUACUGGAUUUAUCUUUACUUGCUUUCUUUUCAUAUAACUUAAAAAAAAAAAUCCACCUAAGUGUGUUUGUUAAGGAAGCUCCAGGCAUUCACAGCCCCUCCAGGACAGCACAGCACAGCAGCUGUGCCAUCUGGGAUUCUCCAUCUUGUCAGGUGGGUUGAGAGUUUCUGCUGCCAAAGUAGAGUAAUGUGCUGUGGAAUCGAGUUAAAACUGAUCGGUCUCUACAACUGCUUGUCGGUACCAGAAGUGAGCAUCAGAUAGUGUCUGACUUAUUUAGACCUAGCAAGACUCUGAGUCUACUUCUGAGUUCUUUCUCCUAAGCAGGCUGAAAAACAAACUAUUCUAGGACAGCAGUUGUGACAUCCGCCGAAAGUGGCUUUUAAUUAUAUCUGAUGUGUUUGGUCUGUUGAAAUCUUCCUACCUGGCAUCUGUCUGUCAGCAUCUCUAAUCCCGAGUGGAAAAGGCGUGCAUCUGGUGGGGCACAGUCUGCUCCCUCUGCUGCCUGUGGUUCCCCCUUUAAGUACGCGCUUCCCCUCAGAGGCCCCCCGAGGGCCAGGAGCACAAGUGUGAGCCCUGCUCUGUCUCUUACUCGACUAAUAGGGUCACGGGGAGCUUCACGCUGGGAACCACAAGGCCCAGAUCUAUCCCCGGCAGCCUUAUUCUUGCCCCCUUCGCUUCUGGGGUGAGUGGUAGCUGUCCCCUUGACUCCUCUGUCGACGUAACAGCUGUGGGACCAGCUGUCUGUGCGUCAGAGCGAGGCCCUGCCUCUGCCUCCUGCUGACCCCAAGGGCAGAGGCUUUGCCGGUUUUCUUCCCGUCUGUUUCAAGAUAUAAAAAAUGUUCAGAGUGAUAUGUGCACAUAUAAAAAAUUCAAACCCUGUAAAGGGGAUGUAGUGACAUCCUUCUCUAACCCCAGCCUCCCUUCCCACAGAGGCAGCCGUUGUGGCCAGUUGCUUGAAUUUCUUUCUGGAUAAUCCUGUGUACCUAUUUCACUACAGAGGCCCCGGCACACCACAUCCAGUCUCGCACUUUGGACUGUUCAGUUAACGGUACAUCUAGGAGCUCACCGCUUAUCUUUUUUGGCCUACCUUGGGCUUUUCGAAACACAUCUGUGUGGUAGUCAGUGUUUAAAUGUACCCAUUUUCCCUUGUGAGGAGCAAUUAGAUUGUUUCUAGCAAUUGUUAUGGUGUAUGAGGCUAUACUGAGUAUCUGCCUGUGUGGUUGUUUGUGUAUAUGGGCAACUGUGCCUUUGGGGGAAGGUUUCUGGGUCAUGGUCUGUGUGUCUUUCUGAAUGUGAUGGGUACUGCCAGCCCAUGCUCGCUGUAGUUCCGUUCUUCCGCUUGACAUUUUCCCGCACUUCACCAACACUGUUCUUAAACUUGGUUACUUGUCAAUGUGAGAAGUAAAAAUAGCAUUUCAUUGUAGUUUUGAGUUCUAUUUCUAUUGGGCUGUGUACUUACAGAUUUUCAAGAGCUUUUUAUAUAUUGAAGAAAUUAACCCUUUGUCACUGAUGCGGCAAAUACUUGCCUGUUUGUCGUUGAUCUGGCUUUUGUGUUUCAUGCUAGAAUGUUGCUGUUCAGAGUUUUAAAUAUACUUAUGUAUCAAUGUUUUCUUUUAGGGCUUCUGGGUUUUAUGACUCAGGUUGUGAAGUGCCCCCCCAGCCCCCGCCCCAUUCCAGACGCAGUGGUUCCCUGCAGCCCGGCCUUGGCGGUUUGGGGUUUUAUCUUUGCUGAGUAGAAGGUAAACUCCAGUGUCGCCGUGGUUCAGUUUCCACUUUGUGAUUCUGUAAAGCUGAGUGAACACUUUGUUGGCCGACGUGUGUGACUGCUUGUGCCUCAGUUAUGUUUUCAUCUCUUGAGAACUCUUCACUGGGGGACGUUUACCCUCGAAUGAUUACAAAACAUUGUUUAAGUUUGUAGUUUGCCCUUUUUUUCUUUUUUUUAAGUUGACGCGCGAUGCUGCCGCGUUGCUUUCAAGUUGUAAUUUGCCUUUUAAAUUUACUUGUUGCAUCUUGCCAGUGGUUUUAAGUUUUGUUGUCAAGUCUGUUAUUUUGACCAUGGUUUCAUACUUUGAUGUUCUGCUGUAUUUCCCACUGGCUUCCUUGUGCUUUCAUUUUUGACAUUUGACAUAACUCUUUAAUCCGUCUAGGAGUCGUGUUGGUGUUUGUACAGUGUGAGGUAAGAAUCCAAUUAAUUCAAGAUGGCUGAUUUCCCCAGCGCCGCUUCCUGGAUGAUGCCUUCUCUACUGAUCUGAAACUUGUUAGUUAUGUACUAAGUACCUUUAAUGUAAUUGAGUAUGUUUCUGAACUUUCUAGUUUGUUCGGCCGAUCUAUCUUUCCUCCGCCAGUCUAGUGUUUUCAUUAUAUUAGCUUUAUCACAUCUGAUUGUAAAACGUGGUAAUGCAAGCCCCUGGCAUUCUUUUUUAAGGUACUCUGAUUUUUACUGGAAUUGCAUUAUGUUUAUCGAUAUGUUAUGACAUUGAGACUUUCCGUGUAGGAACAGGCCCCCCCUGUUCGUUUAAGAUUGGAUGAUUUUCGUGUCCUCAGAAAUUUUAGCCCUCUCUUAGGCGAGUUAUGGACAUUUAUGAAGUUCGCUCCUAGAUAUGUUAUAUUCUGUGUUGUGGUUAGAUAUAUUUUUCCAUUAAAAUUCCUGGUUGUGGUAGUAUAUGAUAAGACUUGUUUUAUAGGUAUACAUUAUUUCAGACAUAAAUAGGGUGAUUAUUAAGGCCAAUUGGAAGACAAUAUAGCAUCCAGGCUAAAAGGGCUUUUGAGUCAGAUGACUCUGAUCUCAUGCUUGACUUGCCCCUUAUUUAUUUUCUGUGCCACGAGCUCUCUGCCUCAGUUUCUCCAUUUGUAAGAAGGGAUAAUCAUAUUAUCUACUAAGAAGUGGGAUGAGGGUUUAAUGAAAUAAAGAGGCAUUGUGCUCAGUGCUCUGCUGACACGGAGUGAGCACUGUUCUACUGGAGUUUCAGAGUAAGAGUCAUCUUUAAUGGUUCUGUCAUCCAUGUGAUUCAUUCCGUUUUUCAUGCUUCUCUCCUGUCUUGCUGGCAUUGGCUGUAAUCACUAAUGAGCUGUGAGCAUCGUGGUCUUGUUCCCACCCAAUCCGCUGGUGGGAUCUGUCAGUGGAUAGAGAGGGGUCAGGCUGGCCCUGGCAGGUGUGCACAAGCCCCAGCAGCACACAUCAGGCUGCCCAUUGGUUGUCAUCCUGACGGUCCUCAGCUGGAGUGAUCUGCUGACAGACCUCUUCAAAUUUUAAUAUUCAUGUAUUUGUUUUAUCAUGUAUUUGAAAAUUGCUGGUUUUCUAUUUAUGGUGGUAAUACAACAUUUCCUUUUAAGAGGAAUAUAUUUUUUCUCUUUUUAGUUGAAAUGUCCCCCCACAUACUGUAAGAUUCAUGCUGUCAACGUGUACAAUUCAGUGGGUUUUAGUAUGUUCACCGUGUUUUGCCAACCAUCACUGUCUUCCCAUUUCCAGGACUUUUUCGUUUUCCCAAACAGAAGCCUGAUCCCCAUAAAACAGUAACUUCCCAUCCCUCUCUCCCUCCCUCCUCCCGGUUCCCCCCACCCCGCUUUUUUUCCUGCAUUUUCAUUAUUGUAACUGAUCAAAGUCUGUUUGCAAUAGAUGUGAAUGUGAGUUCAGUACAUGUGACACUGAUUUGGCAGAGGCAACCUAGUGAUUGGCAAGAACACAGCACGAGCAGCUUCUGCAGGUUGGUGUUCCUCCUCCUGGUUCCUGAUAACCUUUACUAUACUUUCUAUUUGCCUCUUCUAGGUUCCUCCUACGAAGGGAAUCAUACAUUUGUCCUGUUGUGUCCGUCCUACUUCAGUUAGCACAGUGUUUGCAAGUUUCAUUCACGUUGCAGCAUGUAACAAUACUUGAUUCCUUUGUGAGGCCGAAUACGAACUUGGUGUGUCUACACCACAUUUUGUUUAUCCAGUCAUUUGUUGGACAUUUGGGUUGUUUCCACUCAUUUGGCUAUUAUUAAUAAUACCUCUAUGCACUUUUUAUUGAAUUUGUUUUAAAUUGUCAUUGGUGUGUGCCUCAGAGUGGAAGUGCUGGGUCAGAUAACUCUGUGCUUAACUUUUUGAGGAUCCGCAGAACUGUCUCCCAGUGUAGCUGCACCAUUUUACAUUCUCACCAUUAAUUGAUGAGGUUUCUGAUUUCUCCACACCCUCAACCCUUGUUCUUAUUUGGCUGUGUGUGUGUGUGUGUGUGUGUGUGGUUUUUAUAUAAGCUCUAUGCCCAGUGUAGGAUUUGAACUCCCAACCCGGGGUCGCAUGCUCAUCCACCCAAGCCAGCCAGGCACCCCUCUGGCUUUUUGAUCAUAGCCAUCCUAAUGGGUGUGACGUGGUAUCUCCUGUGAUUUUGAUUUGCACUUCUCUCAUGACUAACUGUGUCUAGCACUUUUCCAUAUGCUUGUUGGCCAUGUGUAGAUCUUCUCUAGAGAACUGUCUAUACUGAUCUUUUGUCCCCUUUUUAAUUGAGUGUUUAUUUUUUCAUUAUUGAAUUUUAAAAGUUCUUUGUGUAUUCUGGAUACUAGAGCCUUAUCACGUUUUUCCCUUCUGGGGGUCGUGUUUCCACUUUCUUGGUAGUGUUCUUUGACAUAAAAUAAAUUUAUAUGUCGAAAGUAACUUGAUUUAAGGGAAAAAAAAAAACUGGGACUGGUUAUACGGCAAAAAAUGUCCAGGUGUCGUGUGAAUGAUUAAGGUUUGGGGGCAGAGAAGAGUGUUCCGAUCCUGUAGCGUGAAGUGGGUGAGCACUCCUUCCUGUGCAACGUCAGCGGGUUCUACCUGGUAUGUGUGCCGGGGUCAUCUCGUUGGAGUGCUUGGAAGGUUUGGUUUUGUUUUUUAUGUCCAGUAAUAGAUAAUGGAUUUAUUCAGAUGUCUUUUCUGCAUUCUCCACCCCACCCCCCGCCGCUGCCCCCCCAAGCAUCGAGUUUUUCUCCUUUCAUUCUCUCAUGAUUAAUUAUAUCACGGAAUAUCAUGGCCUCCUGUGAUUUCUGAAACACACCGGUCCCAGGCCUGGAGCUCUAUUCCGCCAACACAGAAAUGAAUCAGAAGGUCCACUUCAGCUUCAGGGUGUUGUCAGGCAGGCUUCCGUAUCAGGACCUCAGGAAAGGCAGAGACGCUUUUAAGAGCAGCAGCAAAGAGCAGACCUCUGAGCUGGACAGCUGACUUUCUGUUCCCUGCUUUGCCACUUAGCACGUGACGUUGGCCACAUUUCUAAAAUACUUGAAGCCGGUUUCCUUAACAAAAUGGGGACAAAAACAAAGUCAGAACAUAACUCGUGGUUUGCGUGAGGCUGAGAUGAGGGGUCACACGGCACAGGUGCUGGGAGUGAGGGGCCCUGCUGUUUCCGGUCCCUGUCAGCCUCCCCACUUCGCACAGUUGACUGGACACAGAGUGUUGGGUAACGCCGCCCGGGCUGCCACUUCCUUUUGGAGAUUCCAAGUUCUUUGCGAACUUCCAGUGUCUUCCUGAGUUAUAGGCUAGUCCGUAUUUCUAUUUCAUUGUAAGUCAAUUUGCUUGAAUUCAGUUUUCUAAGAAAAUUGCCUUUUUAAAUACGUAUUAAUGUAGAGCUUUUUUUUUUUUUUUUUGCAUUUUAAUAUCCUUGUCAAUGGUUUUUGGGGGUGGAAGGAAAAAAAAUAGUUUUCACUUUUUAUUCCUAGUUUAUCUUUGACAGACUUUCAAGAAAUCUAUUUUACUGUUUUUUUCAAAGAAGCAGCUUUAGAUAGAAUACCCAGUUCCGCUUUCAUGUUGUAAUUUAUUAAUUUCUGCUUUUACUUCAUUAAUUCUUGUGCUCUCCUUGGAUGUUGUUUGUCCCUCUUUUUCCAGUCUUGCCUUACAUGCUUAGUGCGGAAGGCAGGGGAGGCAGAGCGCGGUCAGGGAGGCUGUGGCAGGAGGCGCUCCUGCUCUAGCCCCACUGUGACCAUGGACAGAGCCCUCCAACGCUGACGCGUGGACCCUCCGUAAGGGAGGCAACUGCUGCCCCCUCGCCGCCCCCGCCGCCAGAGGAUGCAUGGAGGCCAGUUAGUGGCCAGGGCCCAGCGGGAGCAUGGGGGGCGUUCUGCAGGGGGGAACGGCCAACUGCUGUUGCUCCGGUCCACGGUUCGGUUUCUAACGAUCACUCCAACCAACAGCCUCCUCGGUGUCCAGAUACUCAGCUGGUCUCCACAGACACAGGCAGGUGAGAUGAAUGGCCCUGCCUUCCCGUGGUGCCCCCGUUCUCCCGGGGGACGGGUCUCCGAUGGUGACUAGAUAGAUGGUGAGUUAACACAGUGCGGCAACAGCCACCGGGGAUGGAAUGCAGCCUGAGGGUGAAGACAGAGCCCUAACCCAGGGGAGACCUUUGAGCUGUCACUUGACAGGUAGGUGAGGCUGUAAGGAAGAGCAUUCCUGGCUGAGAAAAGGGCGCGAGCAAAGCCUCUGAGCUGUGAAGGAAACUGGCUGGAGCUAGGAGUGCAGGUGGGGCUGGCCGGGCCACGGUGGGGACUCAGGAGGUGCCCCAUGGUGCACCUGAAGGCUCCCCGUCUGUAUUUGGGAAAAGAGUUUAUUGUCCUUAUUUCCUAUUUGCUUUUUGGUUUCAGUUCUGAUGUAUCAUUUGAACAUAGUUAUUUAAAGAGUACGCUUUAAAUUUUCCGAGGUUUUGGAAGGGUUGUGUUUUGUUUUUUUUUUUAACUAUUAUAAUCAAUUUCUAUUUUAAUGAAUGGUUACCUGAGGAAGUGCCCAGUACAAUUUCUGCCUUUUUGGAUCUGUGGCUCCCUUUCUUCACUGCUUAAGUGUAUUUGGUGCGUGGAGUCCGGCCCUGCCGCGUGGAGUGCCGGGUGCUGACCGGGCAGACGGGAGCCCACCCCCUCCCCACCCCCACCUCACUGUCUCCUCCUUUGCGGGUUGAAUGAAGUACCUGUGUGUUGGAAUUUUCAACUGUUGAACCUUGAAACCAUUUUUCCACCUCUCGUCUGUUUCCUGCCCGUGUCGUGCCUUCGUUGUACAUAUAGUUGUGAUCGGGAGCCAUUUUGCUUCUUCCACUUCAGGUUACCUUGUAGACACAGUGACUCGUGUUGAGAUAAUCCACCUGUUCUGGCUGAGGCUCCCUGGGGUGUUCCAGGCUGUGAGCCCGCCACUGUCACCUCGUGGGCUUCUGCGUGGGCUGGUUCCAGCAUUUUGUAAUUCUGAAUUACACGGGCACAGGCGUCUUUGGGCAAAUCCUCUUUUAUACCUCCAGGCUGCUUUUGGUUGUCCCCCUGGCCGGAGGCAAGGGGCAGGAAUUGCUUGCUUCUCUUCGCUCACUGCCCUGGGUGCAGAUGUUUGGAAAGGGCCGGUUAUGCACUCCUGUUUUGCCCACUGCCUUGCCAACACAAUUUUUUCUGUUCUUGACUGUGAGUGUGGAGUGCUUUCUUGAAGCCAUUUUAUUUUAUUUUAUUUUAUUUUUUCCCUUGAAGCCAUUUUAAUUUUCACUGGGGACACGUUUUCCUGUGUAGGUCACUCUCUGAGUUUCCUUAAGCAGACACCUUGAGGGUCUUGUCACUAACAUGUUGAAUUAAUUCUUUGCUCAUCUUACAGACUGUGUUUUGACUACCCCCCCAUUUCUAAGGCCUUUUAAGGUCAGAGCUUUGUUCCUCCGUCAGGUUGGGACUUAGAUGGCUAUGCACGGUUCCUCUUUCCUGCUGCAGUAAGUAAGUGCCUGCCUUUUGUGGUGUGUUUGGGGGCUGAAGCCUGGAGAGAGGCCAGGAGGGGCGAUGGGCAAGCGAGGAGGUGGGGGAGAGGUGAGGGAGAUGGGUGAGGGGGAUGGAAACCUGGCUCUGAGCUCACCCAGUGGUCCCCAGACCUUGGUGUGUGUGUGUGUGUGUGUGUGUGUGUGUGAGAGAGAGAGAGAGAGAGAGAGAGAGAGAGAGAGAGAGAGAGAGAGGGAGAUAAAGAGAGAGACGAGACUGGCUGUGCUUGCAGAGCAUCCGUCAGGACUAGUAGAGAGGACCCGUUGUCAGCCUGGCCUGGUGUGACGCUGAACAGGUCUCGGUCCUCUCUGAGCCUCACCUUCUCCUCUGGACUCUGCUGGAGAAGGGCUACUGGGCUCCUCAGGGCUGGCUGGAGGGGUCCAGGAGUCCUCCCCUCGUGAGAGGCCAGGACAGGACUCCUGGAUGAGGACCGCAGAGCUUGGGGAUGCUCCCACUGGACCCGCCGUGGGCCCACAGGAGGCAGAGCCCAGCCUGGGAGCAGCAGGUGCUUGGGGCCCAGAUGGGGAGGGGGGCCCAGGGCAGGUAAACUGGCCCAGGGUCCAGGGUAGGCUUCCUGUUCCUCCUGUCUCUGGGGCCCUGGUGACUCAGACCAUCCUCUCGGGGAACUCAGACACGGGGCCAGAGGCUGGUGGGGACACUGUGCUUCUGACUUCGUUUUCAAGCAGUGGCAGCUUCGCAGGAAGGACCCCACAGCCGGCACUGGUGGAGAGAGCGAGGACGGAAGGCCAGGCAGGUGGGCUAGACUGUGUGGCCCCACACAGCAGGGGCCCAGCAGAUGCGGAGGACCACUGGCAUUUGAGCUAGGCUGGGGUGCUUGAAAUUUCCUCUAGUUCUUAGAUUUCCUGUUCUGGAUGAAAAACUUGAAAGUUUUGCCUUUAAUUGUAAAAGCCAUCUGCAUAGAGUUAAAAAUUCAAGCCAUAGAAAAAGGUAUAAAAUGAAAGUAAAAUCCUUCUCCCCUCACUCAUCCCAGCCCUACUGCAGAGAGGUGGCCUCUCCCAUUUCUUAGGAUCUUUUUGGAAAUUUCCAUCUACAUACGAAGACAUUGCCCUACAGCGAGCAGGACCAUAACUUGUGGUUCAGUUUUCCGUCGGACUUCGUGAGCUCCUGCAGUUGGGAUGUGCAUCCAGCACAACAGGAAACAUGUGGCCACGCGGCCAAGGGGACACGCGUCCCCCUGGCUGCACCUUUGACAGGGCUGUCAGGGCAGCGAGGGGGAACCUGGGAGGGAGGGGGGCCCGGAGCCGCCGCAGGUGUUUCUUUUACUGGACGCGGCCCAUGGCCGCGUUCAGGUUUUGCUUUUCACCUUUGAGUCUGUGAGAAAACAAGCAGGAAAAAGCAAAAGGCGCUGGUGGUGGCACGCCCGGUGCUGCUGGGCCAGGGUUCGAGUCCCUGUGGCGUCUCUGCUUCCUUCCUGCUCCCCAUUCCGGGCCCUUUCCCUCCGUGGUCCUGAGGAGGGACGUUGGGCUGAAGCACCCAGGGCCUCCCCCAGGAGUGCUCCCCUCCACGGUCUCCUCCAUCACCCCCUUGGAGGACCUGGGGCUGGGCUCUCAAGGGCUCUCCCCCUCCCUUGGGCCGUAGGUAGAUGAACUAGCCCCAUCCGAACCAAUCCUUCGAGAAGAAGAGGAGAGCUUGGGAGCUGUGAACCCCAAGGCCGAGGGUGUGUGUGCUCCCCGCCUGGUCUCCUCCAUCUGAGGCUCCCAGGACCAACUCACCACCGCCCUCCACCUCCAAGGACCAGGAUGGCUCUUCUGGGAAGGCUGAGGGGGUGAGGAGUUCUGGGCUGGCAGGUCAGGGCGUGGGGUGGCCCUGGGGGAGAAGAAGGCAGGGCCAACGCACACACAGGCCCUGGGGCAGGAAAUGGGGCGGGAGGGGCCAGAAUGGGCACCGAGGGAUCUGAGACUGCACUCUCCAGGCUCCUGGGACCUGGAUGGAUCCCAGGAGACACCCCUCCCCCCACCGCCCCGCCUCCUGCCUGGGACCCAACAGGGACAGUGUGCUGUGAUCCUGAGCAAGCUCCACGCAAGCCCCAGCAGCGGCUGCCUCUGCCUCUCUCCCAGCUUUGUCAACCUCCCCAUCCCUUCCCCGCAUCCCAGAAAGAGGUCAGAGGAUCACAAUCCAUUUCACUGGCCACAGUGCUGAUGGCUGCCUUGUCUCCAGCCCAGCCCAUGGUCACGCCAUCAGUGCAGAGCCCGAUUUGGGGCUCGAUCCCCUGAACCUUGAGAUCAUGACCUGAGUCAAGAUCAAGAGUCCGGCGCUCAACCAACUGAGUCAGCCAGGCACCCCGAGAGAACCUCUUUUAAGGGACUUCCGGGAAGCCCGGCUGGCUCAGUCAGCGGAGCACGUGACUCUUGAUCUAAGGGCCAUGAGUUCUAGCCCCAUGUUGGGGGUAGAGUUUAGUUAAUAAAAAAAAAAAAUAAGGGACCUUGGCUUGGGCCCUCCUAAA
Molecule: long non-coding RNA, 11293 nt
Organism: Lynx canadensis (Canada lynx)
Lineage: Eukaryota; Metazoa; Chordata; Mammalia; Carnivora; Felidae
Exons: 2
Source: RefSeq, a predicted model, not a curated record